CUACUUACCUGGCAGGGGAGAUACCAUGAUCACGGAGGUAGUUUUCCAAGGGUGAGGCUCAUCCAUUGCACUGCGAGUGUGUUGACCCCUGUGAUUUCCCCAAAUGGGGGAAACUCGACUGCAUAGUUUGUGGCAGUCAGGGACUGCGUCUGUGCUCUCUCCUA
RNAcentral lists this small nuclear RNA (164 nucleotides) under Gopherus agassizii (Agassiz's desert tortoise). RNAcentral describes it as "U1 spliceosomal RNA (ENSGAGG00000002333.1)". It matches the Rfam family "U1 spliceosomal RNA". From Rfam's summary of the family: U1 is a small nuclear RNA (snRNA) component of the spliceosome (involved in pre-mRNA splicing). The record is from Rfam by way of RNAcentral. Lineage: Eukaryota; Metazoa; Chordata; Testudines; Testudinidae.